RNAcentral lists this ribosomal RNA (1444 nucleotides) under Enterobacter asburiae. RNAcentral's name for it is "partial 23S ribosomal RNA". It matches the Rfam family "Bacterial large subunit ribosomal RNA", at positions 1 to 1491 of the family's 2925-position model. The record is from RNAcentral. Lineage: Bacteria; Pseudomonadati; Pseudomonadota; Gammaproteobacteria; Enterobacterales; Enterobacteriaceae.
GGUUAAGCGACUAAGCGUACACGGUGGAUGCCCUGGCAGUCAGAGGCGAUGAAGGACGUGCUAAUCUGCGAAAAGCGCCGGCGAGGUGAUAUGAACCUUUGACCCGGCGAUGUCCGAAUGGGGAAACCCAGUGUGAUUCGUCACACUAUCGUUAACUGAAUACAUAGGUUAACGAGGCGAACCGGGGGAACUGAAACAUCUAAGUACCCCGAGGAAAAGAAAUCAACCGAGAUUCCCCCAGUAGCGGCGAGCGAACGGGGAGCAGCCCAGAGUCUGAAUCAGCUUGUGUGUUAGUGGAACGGUCUGGAAAGUCCGGCGAUACAGGGUGACAGCCCCGUACACGAAAGCACACAGGCUGUGAACUCGAAGAGUAGGGCGGGACACGUGGUAUCCUGUCUGAAUAUGGGGGGACCAUCCUCCAAGGCUAAAUACUCCUGACUGACCGAUAGUGAACCAGUACCGUGAGGGAAAGGCGAAAAGAACCCCGGCGAGGGGAGUGAAAAAGAACCUGAAACCGUGUACGUACAAGCAGUGGGAGCACCUUCGUGGUGUGACUGCGUACCUUUUGUAUAAUGGGUCAGCGACUUAUAUUCUGUAGCAAGGUUAACCGUAUAGGGGAGCCGAAGGGAAACCGAGUCUUAACUGGGCGUUAAGUUGCAGGGUAUAGACCCGAAACCCGGUGAUCUAGCCAUGGGCAGGUUGAAGGUUGGGUAACACUAACUGGAGGACCGAACCGACUAAUGUUGAAAAAUUAGCGGAUGACUUGUGGCUGGGGGUGAAAGGCCAAUCAAACCGGGAGAUAGCUGGUUCUCCCCGAAAGCUAUUUAGGUAGCGCCUCGUGAACUCAUCUUCGGGGGUAGAGCACUGUUUCGGCUAGGGGGCCAUCCCGGCUUACCAACCCGAUGCAAACUACGAAUACCGAAGAAUGUUAUCACGGGAGACACACGGCGGGUGCUAACGUCCGUCGUGAAGAGGGAAACAACCCAGACCGCCAGCUAAGGUCCCAAAGUCAUGGUUAAGUGGGAAACGAUGUGGGAAGGCACAGACAGCCAGGAUGUUGGCUUAGAAGCAGCCAUCAUUUAAAGAAAGCGUAAUAGCUCACUGGUCGAGUCGGCCUGCGCGGAAGAUGUAACGGGGCUAAACCAUGCACCGAAGCUGCGGCAGCGACGCUUAUGCGUUGUUGGGUAGGGGAGCGUUCUGUAAGCCGUUGAAGGUGUCCUGUGAGGGGUGCUGGAGGUAUCAGAAGUGCGAAUGCUGACAUAAGUAACGAUAAAGCGGGUGAAAAGCCCGCUCGCCGGAAGACCAAGGGUUCCUGUCCAACGUUAAUCGGGGCAGGGUGAGUCGACCCCUAAGGCGAGGCCGAAAGGCGUAGUCGAUGGGAAACAGGUUAAUAUUCCUGUACUUGGUGUUACUGCGAAGGGGGGACGGAGAAGGCUAUGUUAGC